UGCCAGCCGCCGCGGUAAUACGGAGGGGGCGAGCGUUGUUCGGAAUUACUGGGCGUAAAGGGCGCGUAGGCGGCCUUGUCAGUCAGGCGUGAAAGCCCCGGGCUCAACCUGGGAUGUGCGUUUGAUACUGCGAGGCUAGAGACCGGAAGAGGAUGGCGGAAUACCCAGUGUAGAGGUGAAAUUCGUAGAUAUUGGGUGGAACACCAGUGGCGAAGGCGGCUCCCUGGCCAAAGACUGACGCUCAUGUGCGAAAGUGUGGGUAGCGAACAGGAUUAGAUA
This 279-nucleotide ribosomal RNA is filed under the name uncultured bacterium. Its description in RNAcentral is "partial 16S ribosomal RNA". It matches the Rfam family "Bacterial small subunit ribosomal RNA", at positions 506 to 784 of the family's 1533-position model. The record is from RNAcentral.